GAUGAACGCUGGCGGCGUGCCUAAUACAUGCAAGUCGAGCGAACGGACGAUAAGCUUGCUUCUCUGAUGUUAGCGGCGGACGGGUGAGUAACACGUGGAUAACCUACCUAUAAGACUGGGAUAACUUCGGGAAACCGGAUCUAAUACCGGAUAAUAUUUUGAACCGCAUGGUUCAAAAGUGAAAGACGGUCUUGCUGUCACUUAUAGAUGGAGCCGCGCUGCAUUAGCUAGUUGGUAAGGUAACGGCUUACCAAGGCAACGAUGCAUAGCCGACCUGAGAGGAUGAUCAGCCACACUGGAACUGAGACACGGUCCAGACUCCUACGGGAGGCAGCAGUAGGGAAUCUUCCGCAAUGGGCGAAAGCCUGACGGAGCAACGCCGCGUGAGUGAUGAAGGUCUUCGGAUCGUAAAACUCUGUUAUUAGGGAAGAACAUAUGUGUAAGUAACUGUGCACAUCUUGACGGUACCUAAUCAGAAAGCCACGGCUAACUACGUG
This 497-nucleotide ribosomal RNA is filed under the name uncultured bacterium. RNAcentral describes it as "partial 16S ribosomal RNA". It matches the Rfam family "Bacterial small subunit ribosomal RNA", at positions 28 to 507 of the family's 1533-position model. The record is from RNAcentral.